AUUGAACGCUGGCGGCAGGCUUAACACAUGCAAGUCGAGCGGGGUGAUGGUGCUUGCACUAUCACUUAGCGGCGGACGGGUGAGUAAUGCUUAGGAAUCUGCCUAUUAGUGGGGGACGACAUCUCGAAAGGGAUGCUAAUACCGCAUACGUCCUACGGGAGAAAGCAGGGGAUCACUUGUGACCUUGCGCUAAUAGAUGAGCCUAAGUCGGAUUAGCUAGUUGGGGGGGUAAAGGCCUACCAAGGCGACGAUCUGUAGCGGGUCUGAGAGGAUGAUCCGCCACACUGGGACUGAGACACGGCCCAGACUCCUACGGGAGGCAGCAGUGGGGAAUAUUGGACAAUGGGGGGAACCCUGAUCCAGCCAUGCCGCGUGUGUGAAGAAGGCCUUAUGGUUGUAAAGCACUUUAAGCGAGGAGGAGGCUCUUUUGGUUAAUACCCAAGAUGAGUGGACGUUACUCGCAGAAUUAGCACCGGCUAACUACGUGCCAGCAGCCGCAGUAA
Molecule: ribosomal RNA, 503 nt
Filed under: uncultured bacterium
Lineage: Bacteria
Description: partial 16S ribosomal RNA
Rfam family: Bacterial small subunit ribosomal RNA
Source: RNAcentral